CAUUCCAGAUGAGCCCUCGGUGUUUAGGUACGUCAAACAUCCAUCGUCACCGGUUCGAACUUCAAGGAUACCACGUGGAUUUUUGAGUUCAAAGUGUUGCCAGAACCGAAACGACGCACAUCUGAAUGAUAGAGGACGGACUGGAGUUGUAAUUGUACACGAGAUUUUUCUGUCUUUUAAAUAUUAUCCGGUGGCACUCUUAGCCGUCACGAAUUUACGACACGUAAAGAAUGCUGAUUAUUGACAUUAUCCAGAGGGUUCUUAUAUUUCGAGGUGGAAUGUCCGUAAUGAAGGUAAUGAAGUUUCAAUUCCUAAUCUGAAAAUGAAAGUUGAUGGAAUGGUAAAGGAAUUUUAAUCGAUUUAUUUGAAGCCAUCGUUCGUUAUCU
Fopius arisanus is the source of this 386-nucleotide long non-coding RNA. RefSeq lists it as uncharacterized. The transcript has 3 exons. Lineage: Eukaryota; Metazoa; Arthropoda; Insecta; Hymenoptera; Braconidae. The record is from RefSeq and is a predicted model, not a curated record.